AUUCUCAGUUUGUUCCUGGCUUGGAGCUGGAGGCAGUGCCAGCAGAUUACUGGAACUCUGGACAGGAGCUAUCACUGAGAUGUCUCCAAGUUCAGGAGUGCCAUCUGUGUUCAGAGAGGCAAUACAAAAAAGCAAGCAAACAACAACUGAGUACGACCUUUCUGUAAGUUGCUUUUCCUGGUGACGCCCAAUUCCGGCCUUACUUUCCUUCCUAGUCUCUUAAUACAUGGUCAGAGAAGAGGAAACAUCAACUCCGGAUACAAGGGAUGAAGAGACGAUACUGGAGGAUGUCUGAGUGGCUGAAGCCGAAGAGUGCAUGUGUCCAGUACGAAGGUCACCGGUCACUGGUCACUGGUC
Molecule: long non-coding RNA, 357 nt
Organism: Felis catus (domestic cat)
Lineage: Eukaryota; Metazoa; Chordata; Mammalia; Carnivora; Felidae
Exons: 3
Source: RefSeq, a predicted model, not a curated record